CAGCAGCCGCGGGAAUACGGAGGGAGCUAGCGUUGUUCGGAAUUACUGGGCGCAAAGCGCGCGUAGGCGGUUACUCAAGUCAGAGGUGAAAGCCCGGGGCUCAACCCCGGAACUGCCUUUGAAACUAGGUGACUAGAAUCUUGGAGAGGUCAGUGGAAUUCCGAGUGUAGAGGUGAAAUUCGUAGGUAUUCGGAAGAACACCAGUGGCGAAGGCGACUGACUGGACAAGUAUUGACGCUGAGGUGCGAAAGCGUGGGGAGCAAACAGGAUUAGAUACCCCUGUAGUCCCUGUCUCUUAUAC
This 301-nucleotide ribosomal RNA is filed under the name uncultured bacterium. Its description in RNAcentral is "partial 16S ribosomal RNA". It matches the Rfam family "Bacterial small subunit ribosomal RNA", at positions 509 to 807 of the family's 1533-position model. The record is from RNAcentral.